This 531-nucleotide long non-coding RNA is filed under the name Ananas comosus (pineapple). RNAcentral's name for it is "long non-coding RNA (ACOM_LNC004689)". Lineage: Eukaryota; Viridiplantae; Streptophyta; Magnoliopsida; Poales; Bromeliaceae. The record is from RNAcentral.
UGUCAGGGAUGUCAACGGGUUGAAUUCGAGACAGGCUUUCAAAAAUCCGAACCCGAAUCCGACUCCAAACUCAAGAUUCAAAUCCGCACUCGAACCCGACGAAUUUUAAAAAUUCAUUUCCGAAUCCGAACCCGACGAAAAAUUUUGAAAUCCGAACCUGAAAAUCCGAGCUCGAAAUAAUUGCCUUUUUUUUUUUCAAUAUUUCAAAAUAUAUUAUAUUAAAUCUAUAUUUUUAAAAUACAAAUUCAAAUACAAUAUUAAAUUUUUACAUACAUAUUAUACUAUAUAUAAUGUAAAAUAAAUUCAGGUUCGGAUCAGAUUCAGGUCGGAUGCAAUCAAAAUUCAUAUCCGAAUCCAUAUUCGUAGUCAAAAUUCAUAUCUGAAUCCAUAUUCGUCGGAUUUUUGCUUUUCAUAUCCAUAUUCGAAACCAUAUCCGUUUAGCAUUGAAUAGAUUCGCUCCGUUCGGACUCGGGUUUAAAUAAAAUUUUAGGUAUUAACAAUCAUUGGCAUUCCUAGUCCUCCCCCAUUCAU